RNAcentral lists this non-coding RNA (184 nucleotides) under Desulfovibrio sp. Its description in RNAcentral is "6S RNA". It matches the Rfam family "6S / SsrS RNA". From Rfam's summary of the family: E. coli 6S RNA was the first non coding RNA to be sequenced, but its function was unknown until recently. It consists of 184 nucleotides that fold into an extended hairpin structure with a large single-stranded internal bulge. Lineage: Bacteria; Pseudomonadati; Thermodesulfobacteriota; Desulfovibrionia; Desulfovibrionales; Desulfovibrionaceae. The record is from RNAcentral.
AUUUCCCUGGAGUGCGCGUGAUUUAUGCCUCGGUGCUAACCUGACAAGUAGUAAAAAAGGGAGCCGUCCCUGUUUUUUGUGUGCAUGCCCGGCGUUGUGCGGGAAGCCUGAAAAAAACAUACCGGCGCCCGAUCUGGGUAACCAGGUUCUGCACCGCAUGCGUGCACGGCGCUCCGGGGUUUUU